UAAACAUUAACUGGUAUUUUGUUAUUUUAUUAGGAUCCUCAUUAGCUGUUGCAAAAGCAGUAGCUACUCUUCCUGGGGUCCACAUGAAACAUGAAACAUAAUACAGAACAUCAAUAGACAGUAGAACAGCUCAAGGACAGAACUACAUUUUUUAAAUAUUUUUAUUUUUAACCUUUUAUUUAACUUGGCAAGUCAGUUAAGAACACAUUCUUAUUUCACAAUGACGGCCUAGGAACUGUGGGUUUAACUGCCUUGUUCAGGGGCAGAAAGACAGAUUUUUACUUUGUCAGCUCGGGGAUUCGAUCUUGCAACCUUUCGGUUACUAGUCCAACACUUUAACCACGAGGGUACCUGCCGCCCCUACACUCUAACCACGAGGGUACCUGCCGCCCCUACACUCUAACCACUAGGGUACCUGCCGCCCCUACACUCUAACCACUAGGGUACCUGCCGCCCCUACACUCUAACCACUAGGGUACCUGCCGCCCCUACACUCUAACCACUAGGGUACCUGCCGCCCCUACACUCUAACCACUAGGGUACCUGCCGUCCCUACACUCUAACCACUAGGCUACCUGCCGCCCCUACACUCUAACCACUAGGGUACCUGCCGCCCCUACACUUUAACCACUAGGGUACCUGCCGCCCCUACACUCUAACCACUAGGGUACCUGCCGUCCCUACACUAACCACUAGACUACCUGCCGCCCCUACACUCUAACCACUAGGCUACCUGCCGUCCCUACACUCUAACCACUAGGGUACCUGCCGCCCCUACACUCUAACCACUAGGGUACCUGCCGUCCCUACACUCUAACCACUAGGGUACCUGCCGCCCCUACACUCUAACCACUAGGGUACCUGCCGCCCCUACACUCUAACCACUAGGGUACCUGCCGCCCCUACACUCUAACCACUAGGGUACCUGCCCCCCUACACUCUAACCACUAGGGUACCUGCCGCCCCUACACUCUAACCACUAGGGUACCUGCCGCCCCUACACUCUAACCACUAGGGUACCUGCCGCCCCUACACUCUAACCACUAGACUACCUGCCGCCCCUACACUCUAACCACUAAGGGUACCUGCCGCCCCUACACUCUAACCACUAGGGUACCUGCCGCCCCUACACUUUAACCACUAGGGUACCUGCCGCCCCUACAUACAUUUCACCCUUACUUAAC
Molecule: long non-coding RNA, 1184 nt
Organism: Oncorhynchus tshawytscha (Chinook salmon)
Lineage: Eukaryota; Metazoa; Chordata; Actinopteri; Salmoniformes; Salmonidae
Source: Ensembl